GACGAACGCUGGCGGCGUGCUUAACACAUGCAAGUCGAACGGAAAGGCCCUGCUUUUGUGGGGUGCUCGAGUGGCGAACGGGUGAGUAACACGUGAGUAACCUGCCCUUGACUUUGGGAUAACGUCAGGAAACUGGGGCUAAUACCGGAUAGGAGCUCCUGCUGCAUGGUGGGGGUUGGAAAGUUUCGGCGGUUGGGGAUGGACUCGCGGCUUAUCAGCUUGUUGGUGGGGUAGUGGCUUACCAAGGCUUUGACGGGUAGCCGGCCUGAGAGGGUGACCGGCCCCAUUGGGACUGAGAUACGGCCCAGACUCCUACGGGAGGCAGCAGUGGCGACUAUUGCACAAUGGGCGGAAGCCUGAUGCAGCAACGCCGCGUGCGGGAUGACGGCCUUCGGGUUGUAAACCGCUUUCGCCUGUGACGAAGCGUGAGUGACGGUAAUGGGUAAAGAAGCACCGGCUAACUACGUG
This 468-nucleotide ribosomal RNA is filed under the name uncultured bacterium. RNAcentral's name for it is "partial 16S ribosomal RNA". It matches the Rfam family "Bacterial small subunit ribosomal RNA", at positions 28 to 507 of the family's 1533-position model. The record is from RNAcentral.